RNAcentral lists this ribosomal RNA (363 nucleotides) under uncultured Aquabacterium sp. RNAcentral's name for it is "bacterial SSU rRNA". It matches the Rfam family "Bacterial small subunit ribosomal RNA", at positions 1014 to 1382 of the family's 1533-position model. Lineage: Bacteria; Pseudomonadati; Pseudomonadota; Betaproteobacteria; Burkholderiales; Sphaerotilaceae. The record is from RNAcentral.
UGCUCGAAAGAGAACUUGAACACAGGUGCUGCAUGGCCGUCGUCAGCUCGUGUCGUGAGAUGUUGGGUUAAGUCCCGCAACGAGCGCAACCCUUGUCAUUAGUUGCUACCGCAAGGAGCACUCUAAUGAGACUGCCGGUGACAAACCGGAGGAAGUGGGGAUGACGUCAGGUCCUCAUGGCCCUUAUGGGUAGGGCUACACACGUCAUACAAUGGCCGGUACAGAGGGCUGCCAACCGCGAGGGGGAGCCAAUCCCAGAAAACCGGUCGUAGUCCGGAUCGUAGUCUGCAACUCGACUGCGUGAAGUCGGAAUCGCUAGUAAUCGCGGAUCAGCUUGCCGCGGUGAAUACGUUCCCGGGUCUU